UACGUAGGGGGCAAGCGUUGUCCGGAUUUAUUGGGCGUAAAGAGCGUGUAGGCGGCUUUACAGGUCCGUUGUGAAAACUCGAGGCUCAACCUCGAGACGCCGGUGGAAACCGUAAAGCUAGAGUCCGGAAGAGGAGAGUGGAAUUCCUGGUGUAGCGGUGAAAUGCGCAGAUAUCAGGAGGAACACCGGUGGCGAAGGCGGCAUCCUGGACCAAUAUUGACGCUGAGGAGCGAAAGCCAGGGGAGCAAACGGG
RNAcentral lists this ribosomal RNA (253 nucleotides) under uncultured bacterium. Its description in RNAcentral is "partial 16S ribosomal RNA". It matches the Rfam family "Bacterial small subunit ribosomal RNA", at positions 524 to 776 of the family's 1533-position model. The record is from RNAcentral.